UAGCAUCAUGGAAGUCACUGUUCC
RNAcentral lists this non-coding RNA (24 nucleotides) under Mus musculus (house mouse). The record is from RNAcentral. Lineage: Eukaryota; Metazoa; Chordata; Mammalia; Rodentia; Muridae.